GCCCAUUUGAACAUAUACAUUAAUGAAACACCAGAGAUCCAUUUUUGCGCAAUUCUCUCAUUCCACUGAGAUCCAUUUUUGGAUAUAUGCUGGAAGCCUUGGGAUUCAACUUGAAAUCCAACGAAAAUAUUACAACUUAUCUUAUCCCUAACAAAAUAUAAAAACUACACAUUACGCCAAUAUCUCCCCCACAUUCACUUGUGACUUGUGAGCUCGAGGUCUCUCUAUACACAAAAUAAGAGGCAUCUCACCAAUUUUUAUUUACGAUAUGCACCUCAUGGAAUACAUACACACAGGAGAAUCCAUUGUGGGUGCACCCGCACCGUACACUCUAGGAUGAUCACUUUCCAAUCCAUAAUCCAUCAUCGGACGGUACUCCAAAUCCUCAUCAUGAUCAUGAACAAAUUCUGGAAUUUCUACCUCAUUCCUCCUCAUGUGGUCCCACAGAUAGUCAAUCCUGUUUAUAUACCUCAGCUUCCCGUACAGCCCGCCGCUGAAGAGGAGACGGCCAAACGUUGCUAGGAACAGCCUGGCUUGUAAGCCUGGAUGGAGAAAGUAAACGGACUGGAUAUUAUCCUUGACGUUGAUAGGUAUCGCGUCGUAGACAGAUCGUAAGGCUGAGAUUCCAGGAAAAUUCUCACUUCUUUGAACCCCGGUGUGAACAUACAACACAGAAAACGGCUUCUUUCCUAGGCGAGGAUAGAUCUUUUCCUCCAAGUAACUCUUAAGCACAUCCACACUCAGAAGUCGCGCAGGGAAGAAUUUGCCUAUAAUGCGAAGGACCUUGCGGCCAUGUUUGUCUCGUCCAUGGAUCUUGAAGAUCCCGAGCUUCUCAAUGAGUUGUUCUUGGUCGAGCUGCGAAACGUGAGUGCACAUGUUGUUCGUUUUUCUUCAAUUUGGCUAAAGUUUGGGCUAAGGAAGCAAAAACGGCAAAGUGACGAGAGAUAGAGAGGGAGAGAGAG
RNAcentral lists this unclassified non-coding RNA (962 nucleotides) under Hevea brasiliensis (rubber tree). The record is from RNAcentral. Lineage: Eukaryota; Viridiplantae; Streptophyta; Magnoliopsida; Malpighiales; Euphorbiaceae.